Molecule: ribosomal RNA, 534 nt
Filed under: Trigonopterus sp. 1040 AR-2022a
Lineage: Eukaryota; Metazoa; Arthropoda; Insecta; Coleoptera; Curculionidae
Description: partial large subunit ribosomal RNA
Rfam family: Bacterial large subunit ribosomal RNA
Source: RNAcentral
GGCCUGUUGAAAAUAAUUUUAGGUCUGACCUGCCCAAUGAGUGAUUUAAUGGCUGCGGUAUAUUGACCGUACAAAGGUAGCAUAAUCAUUAGUUUUUUAAUUGAAAGCUUGUAUGAAAGGUUUGAUGAGAAAAAUUCUGUCUCUGUUGAAAUUUAUUAGAAUUUUAUUUUUAAGUGAAAAAGCUUAAAUAUAUAUAGAAGACGAGAAGACCCUAUAGAGUUUUAUAUUUAUAUAAAUGAUAAUGUUUAAGGUGAGAGAAAUUUAUUUUUUAUAAGAGUAUUUUGUUGGGGUGAUAGAAAAAUUAAUUAAACUUUUUAAUAUUAGUACACUAAUUUGUGAAUUUAUGAUCCUAGGUUUAGAUUAAAAGAUUAAAUUACCUUAGGGAUAACAGCGUAAUUUUUUCUAGAGUUCUUAUCGAAAGGAAAGAUUGCGACCUCGAUGUUGGAUUAAAAUGAAUUACUGGUGCAGUAGCUAGAAAAUUAGGUCUGUUCGACCUUUAAAAUUUUACAUGAUCUGAGUUUAAACCGGUGUGAG